GAAAUGCGAUAAGUAAUGUGAAUUGCAGAAUUCCGUGAAUCAUCGAAUCUUUGAACGCACAUUGCGCCCUCUGGUAUUCCGGGGGGCAUGCCUGUCCGAGCGUCAUUGCGAACCCCUCAAGCACGGCUUGUGUGAUGGGCCCUCCCGCGUCUUGGUCGUCAAGACGGGCCCGAAAUGCAGUGGCGGCUUCGCGGUUAUCCGAUCAGCCAGAGCAUAUGGGGACUUUCUCUCUGUCACACGCCCGCGGCGCGGACCGACGCCUGUCGACCUUCAUUCAUCGUUUUCUCGGUUGACCUCGGAUCAGGUAGAGAUACGCGCUGAACAUAAGC
RNAcentral lists this unclassified non-coding RNA (329 nucleotides) under plant metagenome. RNAcentral's name for it is "partial contains 5.8S ribosomal RNA, internal transcribed spacer 2, and large subunit ribosomal RNA". The stretch from base 1 to 105 matches the Rfam family "5.8S ribosomal RNA", at positions 50 to 154 of the family's 154-position model. The record is from RNAcentral.